UAAGACAGAGGUGGCAAGCGUUGUUCGGAUUUACUGGGCGUAAAGAGUGCGUAGGUGGUGAGGUAAGAUCUGUGGGAAAGACCUGGGCUUAACCCAGGAAGGUCGCAGAUGACUGCCUCGCUUGAGGACGGGAGAGGAGAGCGGAAUUCCCGGUGUAGCGGUGAAAUGCGUAGAGAUCGGGAAGAAGGCCGGUGGCGAAGGCGGCUCUCUGGAACGUUCCUGACACUGAGGCACGAAAGCGUGGGGAGCAAACAGGAUUAGAUACCCUGGUAGUCCACGCCCUAAACGAUGGAUACUAAGUGUCGGCGGGUUACCGCCGGUGCCGCACCUAACGGAGUAAGUAUCCCGCCUGGGGAGUACGGCCGCAAGGUUG
This 373-nucleotide ribosomal RNA is filed under the name uncultured bacterium. RNAcentral describes it as "bacterial SSU rRNA". It matches the Rfam family "Bacterial small subunit ribosomal RNA", at positions 521 to 896 of the family's 1533-position model. The record is from RNAcentral.